UACGGAGGGUGCAAGCGUUUAAUCGGAAUUACUGGGCGUAAAGCGCACGUAGGUGGUUUGCUAAGUCAGCUGUGAAAUCCCCGGGCUCAACCUGGGCACUGCAGUUGAAACUGGUAAGCUAGAGUAGGGUAGAGGGGUGUGGAAUUCCAGGUGUAGCGGUGAAAUGCGUAGAUAUCUGGAGGAACAUCAGUGGCGAAGGCGACACCCUGGACUCAUACUGACGACUGAAGGUGCGGAAAGCGUGGGGGAGCAAACAGG
RNAcentral lists this ribosomal RNA (258 nucleotides) under uncultured bacterium. Its description in RNAcentral is "partial 16S ribosomal RNA". It matches the Rfam family "Bacterial small subunit ribosomal RNA", at positions 524 to 776 of the family's 1533-position model. The record is from RNAcentral.